Molecule: long non-coding RNA, 2533 nt
Filed under: Homo sapiens (human)
Lineage: Eukaryota; Metazoa; Chordata; Mammalia; Primates; Hominidae
Description: HSALNT0179209
Source: RNAcentral
GACAAUGGGAUGACACAUGUAAAGUACCCAACACAGGGCCAUCAGAGAUUUCAAUGCACUGUCAAUCUACAAGAAGGGUAUAUGAUAUGCAGUUGUUUCACAAACACUGUAACAAAUGAUUUUGAAGAGGACAUCUUAGGAUACUCUGAGUUACUCCAACUUGGACAUUUCACAGAGUAUCUUUUGCAAGUGGGUCAGAGAGAUACGCCAUGAGAAGCACUCAACUUGCAAUUGUUGAUUCUGAAGAUGGAAGAAGGGGGCCACGAGCCAUGGAAUGCAGCAGCCUCUAGAAGAGGAUGGCCCUAGGCUGACAGGAGCAAGAUAACAGGGACUUUGGUCUUACAACUGCGUGGAAUUGAAUUCAGCCAACAAUUCAAAUAAACUUCCAGAAAGAAACACAGCCUGCUGAUACCUUGACUUUAAUCUGGUGAGACCCAUAGUGGACAUCUGAUAUACAAAAUUGUAAGAUGAUAAUUACGUUUUUUUAAGCCAUUAAAUUUGUGGUGAUUUGUUUCUACAGCAGCCUAGAAAACUAAUAUGCAUAUAGUAGUGUGUAUGUGUGUGUGUGUGUCUGGCUUAUUGUACUUAAUAUAAUAUUUGCAAGAUUCCUAUCUGCUAUUAUUGAUUUUCAUUGUUGUAUAUUAUCCUUUUGUUCAAAUAUGCCAUAAUUUAUUUACCUAUUCUAUUGUUGAUGGACAUUUGGUUAUUCCCAGGUUUAGGCUAUUACAAACAAUGCUGCCAUGCACAUCCCUGUAUAUAUUUUUGUUGAACACAUGUACUCAUUACUAUUGGGUAUAUACCUAGGGAUAGAUCAUAGGGUAUAUGUUUGGCUCUGAUAGAUACUGACAAAAAAUCUUCCAAUGUGGUGGUUUACUUCCCAUGAGCAAUGUUUGAGACUCUCUACAUGUUCACAAACACUUGGUAUGAACAGUCUUUAAUUUUAGCCAUUCUGGGAGUACCACCAUUUCAUGUGAAUUGACCGUUUUACAUAUCCUCUUUUAAGAAAUGCCUGUUCAAGUCUUUUGUCCAUUAAAAAAAAAUGUUUUUUUUUUCUCAAAGACUUGUAGCUGCUCUUUACAUAUUCUGAAGAUAAAUUUCUUUUCCAGAUGUCUGGAUUACAAAUAUCUUUUCCUGUGCUCUGUCUUGCCCCAUUCUCUUCAUGGUGUCUUUAGAUGAACAGAGGUUUGUAUUUUAAUGUAGUUCAUCAAUAUUUUCCUUUGUGAUUAGUAUGCUUUGUGCCUGUUUAAUACUUAAUCUUUGCCUAUCACACACUUAGGAAGUUAUUUUUCAAUAUUAUCUUCUAGACUUUUAUUGUUUUACAUUUUAUAUUUUUAUCUAUAAUCCAUGUAGAAAGAUUUUUGUGUAUAGUGUGAGGUUGGGUCAAGAGCCAUUUUUAAAAAAGUUGGAUAUCCAAUUGAUGCAGUGUCAUUUACUAAAAAGAUCAUCCUUUUCCACUUCAGAGCAAUUUUACUUUUGUCAUAAAAUCAAGAGGUUGUAUGUGUGUGUUAUUGUUUCUGCACUCUAUAUUAUUCCAUUGGUCUACUUGUCUACACUUAUACCAAUUUCAUACUGCCUGUAAUUAUGUAACCUCAUAAUAAAUCCUAACAUCAUAUAAUGUAAAUUCUCUGACUUCAUUUUUCUGUGUUUUGCCUAUUGUUGGUCUUUUAUAUUUCCAUAUUAAUAUUAGAAUCACUUUGUCUAAUCUAUCACCAUCACCAACAAAUAAAUAAAAAAUAUCUUCUGAGAUGUUGAUAGGAAUUGCAGUGAAUCAAUAUAUCAGUUUGGGAGAAAUGAAAUCUUUGCCACAUUGCAUCUUCCUAUUCAUGAAUAAGGUAUACCCCACAUUUAUGCAUCUUCCUUUAAUAACAUUUGUGGCUUUUUUGUAUAGUGGUGCUCUUUUGUCAGUUCUAUUCCUAUGACUUUAAUGUUUUUCACUCCUACUGUCAAUGAUAUGUUUAGUUUUCUUAUUGUUUAGUAUUGUUAUAUGGAAAUACAACUGAUUACUUUGAUAUUAACCUUGUUAUUUAGUAAAAUUGCUAAAGUUACUUUUUAAUUAUAGCAGUCUAUCUAGUUAUUUUGAAUUUUAAACAUACAGAAUUAUGUUACCAGAAAAUAAGGAUCAUUUUAUUGUUUUCCUUCCAAUCAUCUUACUUUUUCUUGCACCUCCCCUUAAUAGCAGUAGUGAUAGAAGGGUAGAGUAGUGAUAGAAGGUGUCUCAUACCUGUUUCCAGGGAAAAAGCUUCCAAAAUUUCAUUACUAAGUAUGGUGUUUAGGCUGGCUCCCUGGCUCACACCUGUAAUCCCAGCACUUUGGGAGGAUCACUUGUGGCCAGGAGUUAGAACAGCCUGACCAACAUGGUGAAACUCCAUCUCUACUAAAAAUACAAAAAUUAGCCAAGCAUGGUGGUGCAUGGCUAUAGUCCCAGGUACUCAGGAGGCUAAAGCAUGAAAAUCACUUGACUAGGGGAGGCAGAGGUUGCAGUGAGCCAAGAUCUUGGCACUACAUUCCAGACUGUGUGAUGGAGUGAGACUCU